Long non-coding RNA from Benincasa hispida (wax gourd), 547 nucleotides. RefSeq lists it as uncharacterized. The record is from RefSeq and is a predicted model, not a curated record. Lineage: Eukaryota; Viridiplantae; Streptophyta; Magnoliopsida; Cucurbitales; Cucurbitaceae.
UCGGGUAGAUCCAAUUUUAGGGAUAUUCCCGCGUAAAUUGUUUCUGAAAAGCUGAGCUGACUCAAAUUUCAAUCUCACUUGACUGGAAGCAACUGUAAUCGCGCUCUCCAAGUCGAUCGGUCCAAUUCUUUGUUGACGCGGUUCCUAAUUCAGAUCGAAUGUUCAAGUCAUUAUCAAAUCGAAUCAGCUAUCUCUAUCUUGUAAUUCCUACUGCUAUCUCAUCGUUGUAAAGUUUCAUGGACAUGACAACUGCUUGGGAGCAAAAGAUUCAUCUUUCUGUGCGCACACACACAGGAACCAGAUUUUCAUUCCAACCAAUACGGCAAGAAUAGCAGUGGAAAUUCUCAACAUUCGAGCUAUGUGUCAACGGCAAGCCAACGCCAAGGGACAAACUCAUUGGGAAUGACUUUGGGCCAAGACCAUAACAAAAGCAAGAGCUAAUGAGAAAAGAUUUAACAUUCUUAAAUUGCAGAGGAUUAGUUAUCCCACGUUGGAAGAUUUAACAUUCUUAAAUUAAAUUGCAGAGGAUCUUCUAAACCAACUUCCU